This 203-nucleotide unclassified non-coding RNA is filed under the name Hevea brasiliensis (rubber tree). The record is from RNAcentral. Lineage: Eukaryota; Viridiplantae; Streptophyta; Magnoliopsida; Malpighiales; Euphorbiaceae.
UCAUCCAGUAGGUCUGCGGUGAUAGCAUUAUUGCUACACGGAGGCAGAGGCUGGAAGAGAUUGGUGGAAAUCAUGGAUAAAAGAGGAGAUAGAAUUUGAUCUUGAAGUAUAUUUUGAGGGAUUUUACAAUGGAAAGGAGCUGGAUGAGCUUGUGUCUCUUGAUAUCUUGCUAAGGAGGCUCCAAAGGAUGAGUAAAGAUGAAG